AUACGGAGGGUGCAAGCGUUAUCCGGAUUUAUUGGGUUUAAAGGGUGCGCAGGCGGACCUGUCAGUCAGUGGUGAAAUCCCGGGGCUCAACCCCGGAACUGCCAUUGAUACUACAGGUCUUGAAUACGGUUGAAGUAGGCGGAAUGCAGCAUGUAGCGGUGAAAUGCAUAGAUAUGCUACAGAACACCGAUCGCGAAGGCAGCUUACUAAGCCGAUAUUGACGCUCAGGCACGAAAGCGUGGGGAGCGAACAGGAUUAGAAACCCCGGUAGUCC
Molecule: ribosomal RNA, 274 nt
Filed under: uncultured bacterium
Lineage: Bacteria
Description: partial 16S ribosomal RNA
Rfam family: Bacterial small subunit ribosomal RNA
Source: RNAcentral